RNAcentral lists this ribosomal RNA (379 nucleotides) under uncultured eukaryote. RNAcentral's name for it is "partial 18S ribosomal RNA". It matches the Rfam family "Eukaryotic small subunit ribosomal RNA", at positions 592 to 976 of the family's 1831-position model. The record is from RNAcentral.
CAAUAGCGUAUAUUAAAGUUGUUGCAGUUAAAAAGCUCGUAGUUGGAUUUGUGGCUGUCGCGUGCGGCUCGACACUAGUGUCGAUGUUUGCUUGCGUCGCCAUCCUUGGGUGGAACCUGUGUGGCAUUAGGUUGUCGUGCAGGGGAUGCCCAUCGUUUACUGUGAAAAAAUUAGAGUGUUCAAAGCAGGCUUAUGCCGUUGAAUAUAUUAGCAUGGAAUAAUAAGAUAGGACCUUGGUACUAUUUUGUUGGUUUGCGCACCAAGGUAAUGAUUAAUAGGGACAGUUGGGGGUAUUCGUAUUCCAUUGUCAGAGGUGAAAUUCUUGGAUUUUUGGAAGACGAACUACUGCGAAAGCAUUUACCAAGGAUGUUUUCAUUAA